UGGGGAAUCUUGCACAAUGGGGGCAACCCUGAUGCAGCGACGCCGCGUGAGCGAUGAAGCCCUUCGGGGCGUAAAGCUCUUUCGACCGGAACGAUAAUGACGGUACCGGGAGAAGAAGCUGCGGCUAACUACGUGCCAGCAGCCGCGGUAAUACGUAGGCAGCAAGCGUUGUUCGGAGUUACUGGGCGUAAAGAGUGCGUAGGCGGUUUUCUAAGUUCGGUGUGAAAUCUCCCGGCUUAACUGGGAGGGUGCGCCGAAGACUGGGAAGCUGGAGUGUGGGAAAGGCAGGCGGAAUUCCUGGUGUAGCGGUGAAAUGCGUAGAUAUCAGGAGGAACACCGGCGGUGUAGACGGCUUGCUAGACCAUAACUGACGCUGAGGCAGGAAAGCGUGGGUAGCAAACA
RNAcentral lists this ribosomal RNA (402 nucleotides) under uncultured bacterium. Its description in RNAcentral is "bacterial SSU rRNA". It matches the Rfam family "Bacterial small subunit ribosomal RNA", at positions 355 to 774 of the family's 1533-position model. The record is from RNAcentral.